This is a long non-coding RNA of Orcinus orca (killer whale), 8483 nucleotides long. RefSeq lists it as uncharacterized. The transcript has 9 exons. The record is from RefSeq and is a predicted model, not a curated record. NCBI's taxonomy places the organism in Eukaryota, Metazoa, Chordata, Mammalia, Artiodactyla, Delphinidae.
AGUCCUCUUAAAGGCCAGGUCUGGAAUUGUCACAGCGCAUUUCUACCACGUUCUAUUGGUUGAGGUAGUCAGAGAUCCGGCCUAGAUUCAAGGAAUGGAGAAAUAAGUGCUACCUCUCAAUGAAAUAAGUGACCAAGGACUUGCAGCCAUUUUGAAUGACCACAGCAGAUUGUCACUUCCUUUAGUUCCUUUUCUUUAUUCUUCAAUAUCUAUGAACGCUGCUGUGGUUGGGGGAGAGGAGGCUGCACAGAGACAAUACUGACAUCACAAGAGCCCUCGAAGCCUUCUUGGAAUCAUAUGGAAUCCUUAGGUGGUGAUUUGGAAAGUACUGCUAGAAGCAUCUCUCAUCACUUCUGAAAGGAGAGUGCUGAAGCCAGGAAACUGCUCCCUCAGUGAGAAUUAGAGGAAGAAACCACUUGAAUCACAUAUGAAACAUUCAGCCCAAUCAAAGCAACCUUCAAGAGCUGAAAAGUAACCACAGCUUUGAGAGUCCAUGCAAUACGCAGGCCUCUCACUGCUGCGGCCUCUCCCGCUGCGGAGCACAGGCUCCGGACGCGCAGGCCCCGGACGCGCAGGCCCAGAGUCCGUGGCUCACGGGCCCAGCCGCUCCGCGGCAUGUGGGAUCCUCGCGGACCGGGGCACGAAUCCGUGUCCCCUGCAUCGGCAGGCGGACUCUCAACCACUGAGCCACCAGGUCAAUGGAGAAAAUAUUAAAGAGCUAAUGAUCUUCGUUUGUUCCUUGAUUUCUUUGAGAAAGGACCUGAGGGUCACCACCAAGCUCUGAGAAUGAAGGAGGUGAGGACUAGUAUGUUUCUGGUAUAUUCCUGGGAACUGUGGAGAAAUGAAACAUGAAAGACAUGUUUAUGGGCUUUAUUCUAGAGCACACAGGAUAACAAUUGCAUGAAGCCAAGAAGGACAGACGUGUCCCUACAUUCAUCAGAACUCAUAAUUGACUUUGUCGAAUCACCAGCUCCCAUACUUCAGGUGAUAUCAACUACAAGAGAUGCGUGUUUUCUAUAUAUAUUGCUCAGAGAAAUUGUAGCAGGCAGCUUCUGUGACAGAGAAAAAAAGAAAGUUUUAUCAAACCCCAGAACUCAAUCUCCCAGCAUCUGUUUACACUUCUUGGAAUGACUGAAUAUGUGUGAGAAGAAAAUGGCAGAAACCGGGAGGGUGGUUAGCUCCUGAGUUGAACUAAAUACCAAAGUCUCUGAUUAGAGGUAACUGGUUUCCUUCCUGUGACACUGAAAAUGUCAAAAAGUAAGCUGCCUCUGGAUGGACCUCACUUUGAAGCUUAUUUGUGAUGAUUCCAGUUAGUUCUAAGGUGGUAAGAAUUAGAAUAUAUUAUAUUUUGUUUUACAGAUUCUUUGAAGUUUCUUGCUGGAGCUCAUUUUUAAAUAUCCUCAGUCUUUUGUUUUAUAUUCAUAAGCAAAUUGAUUUCCUCACUCCUGAUUCUAUCUUACCAAUUUUUAAAUUAUUUAUAGUUACCUGUUACAAUUAACAAGAAAAUUGUACCUGAUCUAGUCAUAUUUUUAUGGAAAACUUUGUUUCAUCAUUCUAUGAACUUCUACCUAAAUUGCAAAAUUUAAAUUGGUCAUAAAAGGUUUUUUUUUUUAUCUUGAAGGAGUUUAAAAAGAAGCAGCAUGUAUGAAGAAGCUACUGAUACUUUUUCUUUUCAGAUAGAGUGAUCAUGUAUAUACAAUUUUUAUCCUGUGCAACUCCAAUGAUAAAAUUCCUAGGAUUGAUAGGGAUUUGGGAAGAAAUAGUGGAUAAAACUUACAAUCAUUUGGGAUUUAAUUAAGUCACAUUUUCAGCAGGUGUUCUAAAUAAAUACAAUAACAGUAAUAAAUAUUAUUAGCAUGCAAGAUAGUGCCUGACUAGAGGCGGUAAACAUUAGAUAGGGUUUGAAUAAAGGACUAUAAGCUCGGUAUCACAGAACUUUAGAUAGGAAAGUUACCUAAAAAAUGUUCUUGUCCAAUUCCUGAGUUUUACAAGUGAGAAAAUUCAGUUUCAGGAGAAGAAACUGUUUCAGGUUAAACAGUCUGUUAGUGGCAUAGUUGAGGCAACAUUCUAUGUCUUCUACUUCUGAUUCACUACCUUUAGUCUCUGUUUUUUCUAGAUAUACCAACUGAAAAACAAAAGUGACUACAUGUAUUGAAUUAUCCAUAUAAUUAUUAAUUUAAAUAGUACAACUUAACCUUGAUCUACAAAGUUAUACCUGAACAUACUUUGAAUAGUGUUGUGAAUUUUGUAGAUCAUGUUCAAUUAUUUAUCGCUUACUCAAAACGUGUUUCCAUUGUACAAGCCAAAUUAUGACAAUAUAGAAAGUAGAAAAAGAAAUGGAGAACAUCCACAACUUCUACCAUUACAGUACACACUAUGCAAUUUUUACUCCUAGUACUUAUUCAUGCUUACAUAUGUUCUGAAGUUGUAAUGAUGAGGUAAUAUGAUGUUUGUUAUGUUUUAUUUAAUUAACAUUAUAUCAUGACAUUUUCAUGUUAUUACAUAAUGUUCAUAAUGACUACUUUAGCAACUGCAUAGUAUUUCAUUGACUUGCUUUGAUAUUUAUUCAGCCAUUUCCCUCUUGUUGAACAAUUAAGUCACCUCCAAUGUAACUGUUAAUAACACUGCAGUGAAUGUCUUCAUUCACAUUGCUUGUGUAUGUUGUUUUUCUUUAAAUUAUUUUUCUGUGGGUAAAUUACAAACUAUUGAAUUUUGACUGGAUAUGAGUAUUUAGGUAUCAGCAGGGCUCAUAGCGCAUUUUGCUAAAUAGUUUUCCAAAAAGGUUACAUCAUAUAACUAAAGAAUAAAGUCAUCUAGGCUGUUGAUUAAAUAGAACAGCCCCACUUUUACCAGACAUGGACCAUGGAAACAACAGAGAAGCCACAGUUAGGACUGGCCUUGUGUGCAGAAGGGUGUCCAGAAGUCUGCACAGAUAAUGUACAUGACAGUCCCUAGAAAUGAAGCCCAGUAGUUUUCCGGAAAUUUCCAACAAUGUAAAUUCUCAGUUAGUGCCUUCUUAAGGAACUAAGAUUUUUAAGAAAGUCAAGACAUUUGUAGACCAAAGAAGGGUAAAGAAUUAGCUAACACAUGUGCAGAGUCUAGUUGACAUGAUUAACACCCAUUACCAAUCAUGUACACUUAGAGAAAAUAGCCUUAAGGCUUCAAAUAAGUACUAAGAAGGAAGAAGUUGAGCACAUGAGACUCUUUUGCCUGUUGAGUGAAAGAAAAUAGAAAAUUGGACUUAAAUCUCUCAUCCAUCAUAAACAUGUAUUCCCUAUACACACACCCCACCCCACCCUCAAUCCGAUACACACACACACACACACACACACACACACACAGGUCAAUGAAAAGACCAUGCUUUUCUUUUUUUUCCCACAGACUUACUGUUUGUUUUCCUCCAAAUGGCAAUGGCAGAAGUAGAUUGAGUUACUUAGGCAGAGUUCUGUGUUAGAACUGUGAACCACCUUUUCGUCCUGCUUUUUUAAUAAAAAGGUUGCUUAUGUUUCAGUUCAAUCUCUGUGGCUAUUGCUAUUGAGUAAACCCCUUUACUCCAACCUUCUGGGUGAAAAAAGACCAUGCUUUUUAAAUUUCAUAAGUUCUUUAGGACUCAGACCCAGGACUCCCAGGGCUGUGGUGAUUGACUUGCUCUUUAUUGCUCAGUAUUUUUUUUCCUGGUAUAUGGAGCUACACAGCUACCAUUUACUGAAAAGCUGCUAUCUCCCAGCCACUUUCUUGGAUGCUUUUUGUUUAGGAUAUCAUUUAAUCCUCACAACAACUCUAUAUAGUACCAUUUAUUUCUCUCUAUUACAUAUGUGGAAAUCAAGGCCCAGAAUCUUUAAGCAAUUUGCAUGAAAACACAAGUUCUGAGUUAUACGGUGGCAGAGCCAAGAUUCACCCUUCUCUGAUUGAUGCUGUUCUGUGAAGUGCCUCUCAGUGCAGCACAGACAAAGUGAGGGGGGCAUUUCUACCUGAAUAUGUUAACAUUUCUGGGAUAUUUUGGUUCUCUUGAGAUUUUUCUAUUCAUAAAAGUUGAAAAACCUCUCAGUUACUUCUUUUUCUCAGAAUGUCGGUCAUACUGGAUAUUUAAUCUGCUAUUAAAUGUAUGUCCAGAAGAAUACCAAUGGGAACCAAAAUAGUGGCCCGAAAUGAACUCUGUAAUGUUUAAUGAAAUGUUAUAAUAUUUUGCGUUCAAUCUUCAUGACUAAAGUCACGACAGAUAUUCCAAAUCAGCAGCUGUGUUGCCAGUGGAAUCUCAACAAUAUUAAUUCAGAUUUGAACAACCACUCUUGAUUUAUCUCUUUAGAUUCAGGUCCCAUAAAAACUAAGGACGAAGUCUCCUGACUGAAGUCUUUAAAUUUAAUUUCUAAAAAGCAAUUAAAUCUGAUAAAGUGUUUGGGUCUGAGAAAUUUUGGUGAAGGCAAAGAAUGAAACAGGAAUAUACCUGUGUCAUAACACAGCUACCUUAUUAACAAUUCUCCUCCUCAAGUAGUUAAGCUGAUCUCUCAGCAAAUCCAUUAAAAUUACUCACAAGAAUUUAAGUAUGUACUAUUAGUCAGAAUGAUCUUGGUACAGAGUUAAAAAACAUUAUUCCUUUCCCUGCUUUGAAAUUUUCACCCAAAGAAGGAUUAGAUGAAUUCUAAGUUUUUUAAGUUUGUAGAAGAAUUCUACCACAAAUUUAAACUCAAGAGGAAAACGCUUUAGAUGUAUGAUUAAUAUAUUAUUAGUGAAUAUUUGGGAUAAAAAAGUUUCAUACUUAGAAAUGCCAAAGAAAACCAAUUUAUGUCUAUUAUAGGUGGAAAGAUACUGGCCAUAAAUAUAUCUUGAACUUUUAACUGUGGCAAAAGAAAUUUUACUACAUAUUCUGCCUGCCUUUACAUAGGUAGUUAAGCUCUAUAUAAUUAUAUAGUUAGAAACACAGUUAUAUAACAAAUUAAGUCCUGGGAAAGGGAAAAAACAUGAUUCCGUGUAGAUACACACAGCCCUCAAAAUUUGCUUGCAAAUGGUUUGGCUCUUAAACAUAAUUUCUCACAGAAAAAUAUUUCAAAUUAUAGCCCCUCUCCACCUGAAACCCACUGAAUGCAUAAUUAAGUUGAAAUGUGGUUAUUAUAUUUGAGACAGAGCUCUUUCAGGGAGGAAGGAGGCAGAGGACACACAUUUACUUCUUUCCUUUAGGGCUGGCUAUGAAUAAAAUAUUGUCAUAGACAAUAUUUAUCAGGAAUCUUUUAUAUUCUUUCAUCUGUCACCUGAAUUUUGCCUGCUGCUCAGUUUUUGGUGUGUGCUAUACUCACUUCCUGUUUUAAACUACACUUAUUGGCACACUACCCAGGACCAGCCUACCUCCCAAAGGACUUUGUACCUCAAAAUGAUCUCCCUCCCCUCUUGUCCCUACUGCAGUGCCUUCCAUGUAGAAGGCACUCAAUAAUUACUCACUGAAGGAAUGAAUGAAAUAAGAAACAUACAAAGUAAAAGAGAAAAGAUGUGGUUUUGAUCCUUUAUAGCCUCUUCACUUUCCCUAUAUUUACAUUGUUUUCCAAGUUUCAUCCGUUUGUUGUUUUGCACAAUGGCUCCCUUGGAGGUGAGAGCUUGAGUUCCAACAAGUGUGGUAAGGGUAGGGUGGAGGACAGCCGGGCACAUGUUUUAUGCAGAUUUUUAGAUUCAGUGUUAAUGGAAGGCUCACCUUAUCUUUAAAUGGUGAGGCUAUUGUAAAUAGCGAGGCUACAAAGCUCAAGAGAACAUGGUGAAUCACGAUGACAAAAGGUAAGCACACAGUGGUGAUGUGGUGUAGAGAUUCCAGACUUGCUUCACGUGUGUUCCAAGCAGUGACGGCAUCUUAAAGCAGCUACAUCUCUGUCCUAUCCAACACAUAGAGAGGCACAAUAGAACAGUGCAGCUACAGUGCUUCUGCUUUGCAACAGUGGUUCACAGCCAACGAUGCUCAAUGCUCAGUGUGGCUCCCAUGGUAACUCAUGGGCGAGGUGCCUCGUUAGGCCCUUCCUGUGCUGCAUACCUAUCUCAUUGCUAAGCUGCUUCUGGUUGAAAUCCCAUGCACAUGCUCUUGUAUGGUCAAAAGGAGACUUCCUCUGUACAGAACUCACUCAGAGCCCGACAUGGGCACAUGGCAGGCUGCUGGCCAAAAUGUGCCCGCUAAGCCGCUAACAAAUGAAUCAUGAAUCUGGGUGACUGGAGAGACAAAUGUUUACCAUGGAAUGGUAACAAAAAGUCUGGGCUUUUUGCCAUUUAGGAAAGAAAAAAGAGUAUAUAAACUUUCUUAUCCUUUCCUGUAUGGAGGUCUAAGAAGGUACAGGGCACUCAGUUCAGUCUUUGGACAGCAAGCAAAGUGACAAUAAAUGAGACUUUUUAGAGAUUCACAGUGAAAUACACAUGUGUGUGUGUGUGUGUAUAUAUAUAUAUAUAUAUAUAUAUAAUUUUCUCUUUUUGUGAUGACUGGUUUGCUUUACCAUAAACCAGAGUAGGAUGUUGUUAUUACAAUUUAGCUCUUUCCUAUUCCAGCCCUUCAUUUUUUAAGGCUAUAGGGAAAGCAGGUUGUGCUAUUACUCAUUGAACACCAAGAAUGAGGGCAGAAUAAGAUAAUGUUUAUGAGUAUAGCCUUUGUAGUCAGACAGAGUGGAUUUCAAUUCUAGACCUGCCACAAUCUGGCUGUGUGACUUUUAGGAGGUUACUUAACAUCUUCCUCUCUGUAACGGUCACUGCAGGUAGGCAAUAUGUGUUAAGCACUUAGAACAGUGCCUGGGACAGAUUAAGUGCUCAAUAAAUGUUAGUUGAAGAUUAUUUGCUUACUGAUAGUAUUCCUAAAAUUAGUACUAGGAAAAUUUUCCACCAAAGGCAUUAUGGCCAAAGAACAAAAAAUACACACCAAUAACAUUAUGCCCCACUAGACUAAGUUUGCUAAUUCCUCUAAGGAAAGUUAUUUGAGUAGAAGUAUUUUAAAUUAACUAUUUGCGUAUUGUUUACUUUUUCUUUUCUGUGUUUUAUCAGUCCUUAUCACUGUGCCUGGUGAAUAAAUUAUUUCAGAAAUGGAGAUAAGACAAACAAGAGAUCUAAGACAAUGGAAUGUCUAGUAUGUUAACAUACUCUAUUCCAGAGGGAGAAAAUUAAGAAAAAUGGUUUCUAGCAUAUUUAUGAACAACGUAUUAUUGAUAUUCUGUGGUACAUACAUACAUGCAUACAUAUAUAGCUGAGCUCAGUCUUUGGAACUGGAAUGUGUGAUCCAGAUGUGCUUGUCUUUCCGUUUGGCCUUCUGCUCCCUUUUCUGAGUGGCCUGCCGUGCCUCCAUUUCUGCUGUCAGUGGCCCUGACACCUGGAGGACUUCCGGAAAGGUAUAAGCUGACCUGAGCUUUGCUGUAAUCAGAAGCAUCUGGAUUCUUCUCCAUGAACCUCCAGAACUCAUUACAUGCUGACUUGUCAGCUGCAACUGUGCAUGGUGGCCAGGUUCAGGAGUCCCUAGGUGUGAAAACCCAAAAAUGGGUUCAGCUUGCCUCCUGUUCCUCCCAACAUCACCCAAGCAGACCAAGGGAAAUACUGUCAAGUAGCCAGUGCCAAGAUCAUCGUCCGUGUACCCCAGAAGGGGUCGGCAUGAAGACCCUUACUUACUGCAGAGGGGUCUGCCCCUGCCUCUGAGGCCAACCACUGAGCCUCUCCCAGCUGCGGCUGCUGUGCGCAGGAGGGUGAAGCCACUGGAGCCCAAUGGGGCACUGAGCAGAGACAGAACUCCAGGGUCUAGGGGGCUGGCAGUUAGCCGGAGCUUCAGCAUCCCCCUAUCUCCCGCUCAGCAAGCAGCCAGAAGCACAUCCCAGAGCUCUGGAUGACCAGGGGACUUGGCCUCAUCUGGGGAAGGCCCCAAAGGGGCUGACUAUGAAAAGGCCUCAUCUUCUUGAGGUUGCUGGGAAAGGGUCAUUUACACCCCAGCCUCCAGGUCUCAGUUUCUCUCCUCCUCUGCUUGGGCAAUACCUCAAAUUCACGAAGAUCCAGCGUCCCCAGUGUCACCUCUACUAGCUCCAACUCUACCUGGGGGCCAUCCUCUCCCUCUGACUCUGAACCUAGGGGAAAAUUUCCUAUGUUAGAUACAUCUAAGGAAUAAGCAGAGGGUAGAAGGGUGUGAGCUGCCCCAGAUGCAUAAGAAUGUACAUAGAGAGAUAAUCCAGAUCACCUGAAAUAAAAUUGUCACCCCCCCCCCAAAAAAAAUUUCUCCUUCAGCUGCAUUUUGCUUCUCUUUGUCUCUCUGGCAAGCUGGCAAACUGUUUGAUGAUCCCAUGUUCAGCACACAGAGACAUUGCAGGUUCUCCAGUAUCUUCAUUCAACUAUUCAGGGAGAAGCCGAGAACAUCAAACUAUUUUCAGUUAUGCUAGAAAUGCACCAGGAAGUUUCCUACUGUGUAGCAGAGUGGAAGUGAUUUAUUUUAAAUGAGAAAAUGAACCAUUGGUCAAUGGAAAGUUGACAGCUAAUAAAAUAUCUGCAGCUGG